CUCUUCGGGGAUGAUUAAACCGGCGCACGGGCCAGUAACACGUGAGUGACCUGCCUUUUAGACUGGAACAACUUACCGAAAGGUGAGCUAAUGCCGGAUGAGUUAUAUAAGUGCAUGUUUAUAUAGGAAAAGUUGGGGAGACCUGACGCUGAAAGAUGGACUCGCGUCCCAUUAGCUAGUUGGUAGGGUAAUGGCCUACCAAGGCGACGAUGGGUAGCCGGCCUGAGAGGGUGGCCGGCCACACUGGGACUGAGACACGGCCCAGACUCCUACGGGAGGCAGCAGUGGGGAAUUUUGCGCAAUGCUCGUAAGAGUGACGCAGCGACGCCGCGUGAAUGACGAAGGCCUUCGGGUCGUAAAGUUCUUUCGACAGGGAAGAAAAUGCCUAUGAGUAACUGUGUAUGUAUUGACGGUACCUGUAUAAGCAGCCCCGGCUAACUCCGUGCCAGCAGCCGCGGUAAUACGGAGGGGGCGAGCGUUGUUCGGAGUGACUGGGCGUAAAGAGCACGUAGGCGGUGUUGUAAGUCAUUAGUCAAAGACUAGAGCUCAACUUUAGUAAGGCUAGUGAUACUAUAAUACU
RNAcentral lists this ribosomal RNA (580 nucleotides) under uncultured bacterium. Its description in RNAcentral is "bacterial SSU rRNA". It matches the Rfam family "Bacterial small subunit ribosomal RNA", at positions 76 to 642 of the family's 1533-position model. The record is from RNAcentral.